UACGUAGGGUGCGAGCGUUAAUCGGAAUUACUGGGCGUAAAGCGUGCGCAGGCGGUUUGUUAAGUCCGCUGUGAAAUCCCCGAGCUCAACUUGGGAAUUGCAGUGGAUACUGGCAAGCUGGAGUAUGGUAGAGGAAGGUGGAAUUCCCGGUGUAGCAGUGAAAUGCGUAGAGAUCGGGAGGAACACCAGUGGCGAAGGCGGCCUUCUGGACCAAUACUGACGCUCAUGCACGAAAGCGUGGGGAGCAAACAGG
This 253-nucleotide ribosomal RNA is filed under the name uncultured bacterium. RNAcentral's name for it is "partial 16S ribosomal RNA". It matches the Rfam family "Bacterial small subunit ribosomal RNA", at positions 524 to 776 of the family's 1533-position model. The record is from RNAcentral.